UCUGCCCCCAGCCGUUCCUGCCCGUCCCUGCUUUCCCAAGAUCCUGUCUCCUUCAACACGUUCCCUCCCUCCUUCCCUCACUCAUGGCAGACUCCGAUGACUGCGGUUCCCCGUGUUCUUCAAACGGCCCGGAAAAUGCAGAAAACGACCUGCAGCCAUUCUUCGUUCUCCAUAAGGGCCGAAAGUUGGGAACGAGUUCUUCGAAGUCGAAGAAAACCAGACGGAAGAUAGCGUGGCCACCGAUAUGUAACGGGCGAGAGGCUUCGGAGGACGGUGACAAUGCGUCAUUCUACCAGGAACUAAGGCUCGAAGCAUUUGAAUCUGUUUGGGGGAAAAUUGAGGCGGGCAUUAGGGAUGUGUUGACACGCAUUAACGCCAACCUUUUUGAGGAGAUACACGAUUGGGUGAAUAAAUCAUUUGCUGCUAUCAAAGCAUCCUUUAGCUGCAGUCUAUCUGAAGUGAUAAGCCCGUUUCCAGUUUUGACUAAUAACAUCUGUAGGCAAUUGUUCACCGCCUUUGUGUUUACCAAGAAUGUUGAGUUUGUUGAUGACCUACUGACGUUUAAGGAGCUUGGUCAGCAUUUAAAGUCUCGACAGUGCCAUGUAGCAAAUCUGUCAUCUCUUGAUUUUUCCGUUAAGAAUGGGAUAGGAGGCUGCAUUCGAAGUUUACUAAGACAGUUGGUUACAGUUACUUCAACCGUAGCUGAUAUCUCCAUUUUAACUUCAUGGUAUGGAGAGCCAGCAAAUUAUGAUCGCCCAAUUGUUGUCAUAAUUGAAGAAAUGGAACAAUGUGUUGGUGUUGUUUUAGCUGAGUUUAUCACAAUGCUAAGUGAGUACGUGGGUAAACUUCCCCUUAUUUUACUAAUGGGAGUUGCAACGACAGAUGAUGCUCCAAGUAAGCUGCUUCCAGCCACUGCAUUGCAGCACUUACAGCCUUGCAAGUUUGCCAUGGGAUCUCCAAUUCAGAGAAUGGAUGCUGUUAUUAAAUUUCUUCUGGAAAAUCCAUUUUGUGGAUUUAAUGUGGGAUAUGAGGUCAUACUGUUUCUGAAAAACUAUUUCUUCAAGCAUGAUGCAACUGUAGCUUCCUUUUUGAGGGCUUUAAAGAUUGCAUGUGCCAAGCACUUCUGUUUGGAGCCAUUGAGUUUCCUAUGCAAAGGUGCAACUGAUGAAAACUGUCAGGAAUUCUGGAAUAGGGCUUGCAAUGCAUUGCCUCAGGACAUGCUAGAUUAUGCUUCCAGCCUUCCAUCCUGUUCAAGGGCAUCUGUAACUAAAGGUAAUCCAAAUCAAAUGGUUGGAGAUAUUCUACCAAUUCGAUUAACAGAGCUCACAAUAUUAUGGAAUAAUUGGAGUAGUGUCGUAAUGUGCUUAUAUGAAGUUGGAUUGCUUUGCAACUUGCAACUUCUUGACAUUUACUGUGAGGCACUUGAUCCCUCUUCAUCAAAGACAAAAGGUUAUAGACAUCAAGAAGAAACUAUGAAGAGCCAGAGGUCUGCUUUAUCCCAUGAUCAAAGUGAUAACAUAAAUCUCCACAGAAUAUCUGACACAACAAAAGGGGCAAUAAUCCCUCAAAUUAUAUGUAGGAUUAGGGACCUUCCAGCAGCAUCAUUGUCUCAGUUGCUUGAAAUGUGGGAAAAAUACACCAAAGAUUUACACGAGAUCCAUGAAGCAGUUGAAGCACUAUUGAAAAAAUUCAGAGUUGAUGAUGAUGGGAAGCAACUCAAACAACAAAAGGAGGCUUCAGAUUACUUCCCUUUCUUUCCCAGCAGUAGGCUAGUCUCACAAAGGAUGUUACAUGGAAAGGGGAGUAGAAGAACACUCAAUGAGGAAGUUGCAAUGCUUGCUGAGCUUAUGAUCAGGGACUUUCUGAUUCCCAUGGAGUCUGCACCUUUUCACGAAAUUUUUUGUUUCAAAGAUGUUGGUUUGUUGCAGUCGGCUCUUAUUGGCGACCCAAGGAAGACGAUUCAAGAAGACCUCCUUAAGUGUCAAGUUCGUCUCAAUUGCAGUUGUUGUGAGAAGGGACUGGGUGACCUGUCACCUUCAAUGCAUGAUACUGCCAUUCUGUAUAUCCUUUCGCAAGAACAUGGCGAUCUUAUCAAUGUCUAUGACUGGUAUCAGUCAUUCAGGACAAUGUUUAUUAACUCACUGGGAGUUAGUAACAAAAGUGGGGCUCAAAAGUCACCGACUCCAAAAAAAAGAAAAGCUGUAAACAAGCUUAAUGCCUCAGAUGAAGCUUCCAUUCAAGCGAGGUUUUGCAGGGCAAUCUCAGAGCUUCAAGUUACUGGGCUACUGCGUAUGCCAAGCAAGAGGCGACCUGAUUAUGUUCAAAGAAUUGCUAUUGGCCUAUAAAUUGCAAGAUCCAUGACAAAACUUUGGGGCAUCCCGGCAGCAUUCAGUAGGCACUGGUGAGUCUGUUCAUGCCUCGCUUCGUCUUGCAUGGCCAGUCAACUGCAAGGGACUGUAAUUAGCCACUCACAACGGUUUGAUGCCAGCAAUGUCGUGUGAGUAUGCAGAACCAAGCUGAUGAAGACAACUAGAUGCACAAGAUGCAGGAUUCUCAUCAAUAACUUGUGAUCAACUGUUGAUUUUUAUAUUUCAAACACAUCCUUGGUGCUAAAAGGCUUGGCAAAGGCGAUUUUGUUUAACGAAAGUUCAAGGGCAAGACACUCGCAAGACUUGACGAACUGUUAUGAACACUCCCAAGGUUCUUUACUGCUCUGGCAAUCUCUCGGAACCGCCUUUUCUCCCUAACUUCUUAUCAGAAAGGACGUAACCAGCUUGGAGUACUUGAUUAUGAUAUUGACGAUUUUCUGAAGACAGAUAUAUCCAAACAUGUUUUUUUGGAAGCUUUUCUGAACACCCAAUUUUUUUUUAUAUCUAGAGCAGUCUAGCUUCAGAGGAAAAAGAAGUAAAAGUGCUUUUGUGUACAUCUCAUAUGUUUUCCUUUGAUUUUUUUCAUUGUCGCAUGUUUAA
Molecule: RNA transcript, 2969 nt
Organism: Nymphaea colorata (pocket water lily)
Lineage: Eukaryota; Viridiplantae; Streptophyta; Magnoliopsida; Nymphaeales; Nymphaeaceae
Gene name: origin of replication complex subunit 3
Exons: 18
Source: RefSeq, a predicted model, not a curated record